GCUUUUUUUGCUAAACGCCACUGAGAUGAGCAUAGAAGACGAUAUGGUUUGGGUCAGACCUGUCGUCGUGUUUUUGGUCAGUUCCGGUUAGUCGUUGCUGAAUAUUGGCGUUAGGGUUCGUCACCGAAGGCUACUUAUGGAUUGCAAUGAUCAGCAAAAUUCCGAUCGGUUCGCUAUAAUGGCUCUGGGACAAAUACUGGCCAAACAAUGGAUCUACUUCACCACGAGCCAGUACCACGGAGAUCUGCAUUUUGAGGUAACUUGGCUGGUCACGUGUAUUCUUGGGUAAUUAACACAUAUUAAGGGAUGUUAUUGCUUGAGAAUACACGUAGCUGACAAGUGACACCAACAACGUAUCCAUAUAGAUGUCGUGUGAGUUGGUGAGCUGUUUUUGGCACUCCCUGGCCUGAAGGAAUUACUCUGACAGGACGUUCGAGCAUAAGGACUAUCGAACGAUCUCCGCUUGAGAAGCGUUAUUUGUUAGUAGGGACUCUAGUGUUAAAAUAUUGGACACCGCAAAGCAUGAUAGAACUGUUUUUACACUAUUAGGUUUAGCAAUAAACUAUAGUGAAGUUCCUUUCCAAAGCCAAUCUUGAUCCGCAUCACUACUUCUUUUUUCAGUGAUAAUGUCAGCAUUAAGUUGCCAAUAUCCUUCCCAAGAUAUGAAAUUUGGAUAAUCAAAAUAAAAAAAUUAAUAUCCUGCCUAGCCUGAUUGGCUAGCUGCGUUUUAUUCGCUUAGGCUUUCAUGCGAUGCAAAGUGUAUUUGCAUUUUGUGUUUACUGAUAUAUCUUACCCCUAAUGUCAAUAAAUGUAUAAAUAUAUAAACUCCAUGUAUUGCCAAAACUAACUCAGUUUUUACGUAUGACGCUUUACUAUCCAAACUACGUUAUCGAACAUUAUAAAACUGUAUUUCGUCCAUUUCUAAAAUGUAUUGGCGAUCACUUUUUUCCUGUAAUCUGUGAUUUUUGUAUAAUAAAAUAAA
This is a long non-coding RNA of Cylas formicarius (sweet potato weevil), 982 nucleotides long. RefSeq lists it as uncharacterized. NCBI's taxonomy places the organism in Eukaryota, Metazoa, Arthropoda, Insecta, Coleoptera, Brentidae. The transcript is spliced from 3 exons. The record is from RefSeq and is a predicted model, not a curated record.